UACGUAGGUGGCAAGCGUUGUCCGGAUUUAUUGGGUUUGAAGGGUGCGUAGGUGGCUAACUAAGUCAGUGGUGAAAUAUCUCAGCUUAACUGAGAGGGUGCCAUUGAUACUGGAUAGCUUGAGUACAGAUGAGGUAGGCGGAAUUGACGGUGUAGCGGUGAAAUGCAUAGAUAUCGUCAAGAACACCGAUAGCGAAGGCAGCUUACCAAGCUGUAACUGACACUGAGGCACGAAAGUGUGGGGAUCAAACAGG
RNAcentral lists this ribosomal RNA (253 nucleotides) under uncultured bacterium. Its description in RNAcentral is "partial 16S ribosomal RNA". It matches the Rfam family "Bacterial small subunit ribosomal RNA", at positions 524 to 776 of the family's 1533-position model. The record is from RNAcentral.